Molecule: transfer RNA, 77 nt
Filed under: Oligoflexaceae bacterium
Lineage: Bacteria; Pseudomonadati; Bdellovibrionota; Oligoflexia; Oligoflexales; Oligoflexaceae
Description: tRNA-Val
Rfam family: tRNA
About the family: Transfer RNA (tRNA) molecules are approximately 80 nucleotides in length. Their secondary structure includes four short double-helical elements and three loops (D, anti-codon, and T loops). Further hydrogen bonds mediate the characteristic L-shaped molecular structure. tRNAs have two regions of fundamental functional importance: the anti-codon, which is responsible for specific mRNA codon recognition, and the 3' end, to which the tRNAs corresponding amino acid is attached (by aminoacyl-tRNA synthetases). tRNAs cope with the degeneracy of the genetic code in two manners: having more than one tRNA (with a specific anti-codon) for a particular amino acid; and 'wobble' base-pairing, i.e. permitting non-standard base-pairing at the 3rd anti-codon position.
Source: RNAcentral
GGGGAUAUAGCUCAGCUGGUUAGAGCACCUGCCUUACAAGCAGGGGGUCCACAGUUCGAAUCUGUGUAUCCCCACCA